Long non-coding RNA from Panthera uncia (snow leopard), 237 nucleotides. RefSeq lists it as uncharacterized. The record is from RefSeq and is a predicted model, not a curated record. Lineage: Eukaryota; Metazoa; Chordata; Mammalia; Carnivora; Felidae. The transcript has 2 exons.
CUUGUCACCCAAAACAGGUGACUUCGGGUUGGGCACAAUCUAUACAACCUCACACAGCAGCCCUGCAAAAAUAUGGGGUCCCCAAAACCUGGGGACACACUGCCCUUUCAAAGUAGGUUUCCAGAAAGAAGAACCUUACCAAAGACAACCAAGCAUUUUACACAUUUCAUUACCAGAAAUCCUCAUAUUUGUUAAUAUAAAUUAAUUCCUAAACAUAUUAGGAUAGAGCAAAAAGGG